CGGGAGCCAAUGCUUUGCUAAAGCUGGUAAAAUGGAACCAAAUCGACUCUGCAAUGGAUUUGGUCCCCUUCAACCAGCUGUAGCUGCGCAUUGACCACACCG
Molecule: microRNA precursor, 102 nt
Organism: Ochotona princeps (American pika)
Lineage: Eukaryota; Metazoa; Chordata; Mammalia; Lagomorpha; Ochotonidae
Source: Ensembl